Molecule: ribosomal RNA, 248 nt
Filed under: Serratia sp. PR-P-2009
Lineage: Bacteria; Pseudomonadati; Pseudomonadota; Gammaproteobacteria; Enterobacterales; Yersiniaceae
Description: partial 16S ribosomal RNA
Source: RNAcentral
AGAUGUAUUACCGCGGCUGCUGGCACGGAGUUAGCCGGUACUUCUUCUGCGAGUAACGUCAAUCAAUCGCGCUAUUAACACGACUGCCUUCCUCCUCGCUGAAAGUACUUUACAACCCGAAGGCCUUCUUCAUACACGUGGCAUGGCUGCAUCAGGCUUGCGCCCAUUGUGCAAUAUUCCCCACUGCUGCCUCCCGUAGGAGUCCCCCCGUGCCCCCGCCCCGCCCGGGGCGCGCCCCGGGCGAUCAC